UUGAAAGAAGUGAAGCUUAGAGAAGGGUACUAUGUGAUGGACCCUGUCAAAGCAGUGGAAAUGGUUGAUGAAAACACCAUCUGUGUAGCUGCAAUCUUGGGUUCAACCCUCAAUGGAGAAUUUGAAGAUGUCAAGCUUCUAAACGAUCUUUUAAUUGAAAAGAACAAAGAAACUGGGUAAACAUAUCAUAUCUUUUUCCAGCGACGUAAACUUGAUAAUAAUCUGAAAUUUGAGGUGCUAAGUUUCAUAUAUUAAUCACCUUUUUUAAAUCUCUUUGUACAGAUGGGAUACCCCAAUUCAUGUUGAUGCAGCUAGUGGUGGAUUUAUUGCGCCAUUUUUGUACCCAGAACUUGAGUGGGACUUCAGGCUCCCCCUUGUGAAGAGUAUUAAUGUUAGUGGGCAUAAAUAUGGUCUUGUUUAUGCUGGAAUUGGUUGGGUUAUCUGGAGGAGCAAAGAAGACUUACCUGAAGAACUCAUUUUCCAUAUUAACUAUCUUGGAGCUGAUCAACCAACUUUCACUCUCAAUUUCUCCAAAGGUCACUUUUC
This 546-nucleotide long non-coding RNA is filed under the name Gossypium barbadense (sea-island cotton). RNAcentral's name for it is "long non-coding RNA (GBAR_LNC011783)". The record is from RNAcentral. Lineage: Eukaryota; Viridiplantae; Streptophyta; Magnoliopsida; Malvales; Malvaceae.